AAGACUAUACUUUCAGGGAUCAUUUCUAUAGUCGGUGCUUUGUGACCACCUAGAGGGGUGGGAUAGGGAGGGUGGGAGGGAGACAC
This 86-nucleotide small nucleolar RNA is filed under the name Tursiops truncatus (common bottlenose dolphin). RNAcentral describes it as "Small nucleolar RNA U3 (ENSTTRG00000024280.1)". Lineage: Eukaryota; Metazoa; Chordata; Mammalia; Artiodactyla; Delphinidae. The record is from RNAcentral.